AGUCUGCAACCCGACUCCACGAAGUUGGAUUCGCUAGUAAUCGCGCAUCAGCCAUGGCGCGGUGAAUACGUUCCCGGGCCUUGUACACACCGCCCGUCAAGCCAUGGGAGCCGGGGGCGCCUGAAGUCCGGGACCGCGAGGACCGGCCUAAGGCGAAACUGGUGACUGGGGCUAAGUCGUAACAAGGUACC
Molecule: ribosomal RNA, 191 nt
Filed under: uncultured bacterium
Lineage: Bacteria
Description: partial 16S ribosomal RNA
Rfam family: Bacterial small subunit ribosomal RNA
Source: RNAcentral